This 451-nucleotide ribosomal RNA is filed under the name uncultured bacterium. RNAcentral's name for it is "partial 16S ribosomal RNA". It matches the Rfam family "Bacterial small subunit ribosomal RNA", at positions 29 to 523 of the family's 1533-position model. The record is from RNAcentral.
AGCGAACGCUGGCGGCAGGCUUAACACAUGCAAGUCGAGCGGGCGUAGCAAUACGUCAGCGGCAGACGGGUGAGUAACACGUGGGAACGUACCUUUUGGUUCGGAACAACUGAGGGAAACUUCAGCUAAUACCGGAUAAGCCCUUACGGGGAAAGAUUUAUCGCCGAAAGAUCGGCCCGCGUCUGAUUAGCUAGUUGGUAGGGUAAUGGCCUACCAAGGCGACGAUCAGUAGCUGGUCUGAGAGGAUGAUCAGCCACACUGGGACUGAGACACGGCCCAGACUCCUACGGGAGGCAGCAGUGGGGAAUAUUGGACAAUGGGCGCAAGCCUGAUCCAGCCAUGCCGCGUGAGUGAUGAAGGCCCUAGGGUUGUAAAGCUCUUUUAACGGGGAAGAUAAUGACGGUACCCGUAGAAUAAGCCCCGGCUAACUUCGUGCCAGCAGCCGCCGUAA